UACGGGGGGUGCAAGCGUUAUCCGGAUUCACUGGGUUUAAAGGGUGCGUAGGUGGGUCUGUAAGUCCGUGGUGAAAUCUCCGAGCUUAACUUGGAAACUGCCAUGGAUACUAUAGAUCUUGAAUACUGUGGAGGUUAGCGGAAUAUGUCAUGUAGCGGUGAAAUGCUUAGAUAUGACAUAGAACACCAAUUGCGAAGGCAGCUGGCUACACAAAUAUUGACACUGAUGCACGAAAGCGUGGGGAUCAAACAGG
RNAcentral lists this ribosomal RNA (253 nucleotides) under uncultured bacterium. RNAcentral's name for it is "partial 16S ribosomal RNA". It matches the Rfam family "Bacterial small subunit ribosomal RNA", at positions 524 to 776 of the family's 1533-position model. The record is from RNAcentral.